CUUGCAAGUCGAGCGGACGGAUGGGAGCUUGCUCCCAGACCGUCAGCGGCGGACGGGUGAGUAACACGUGGGCAACCUGCCUGUAAGACUGGGAUAACUCCGGGAAACCGGGGCUAAUACCGGAUAAUUCUUUCCCUCACAUGAGGAAAAGCUGAAAGAUGGCAUCUCGCUAUCACUUACAGAUGGGCCCGCGGCGCAUUAGCUAGUUGGUGAGGUAACGGCUCACCAAGGCGACGAUGCGUAGCCGACCUGAGAGGGUGAUCGGCCACACUGGGACUGAGACACGGCCCAGACUCCUACGGGAGGCAGCAGUAGGGAAUCUUCCGCAAUGGACGAAAGUCUGACGGAGCAACGCCGCGUGAGUGAUGAAGGUUUUCGGAUCGUAAAACUCUGUUGUCAGGGAAGAACAAGUACCGGAGUAACUGCCGGUACCUUGACGGUACCUGACCAGAAAGCCACGGCUAACUACGUGCCAGCAGCCGCGGUAAUACGUAGGUGGCAAGCGUUGUCCGGAAUUAUUGGGCGUAAAGCGCGCGCAGGCGGUUCCUUAAGUCUGAUGUGAAAGCCCCCGGCUCAACCGGGGAGGGUCAUUGGAAACUGGGGAACUUGAGUGCAGAAGAGAAGAGUGGAAUUCCACGUGUAGCGGUGAAAUGCGUAGAGAUGUGGAGGAACACCAGUGGCGAAGGCGACUCUUUGGUCUGUAACUGACGCUGAGGCGCGAAAGCGUGGGGAGCAAACAGGAUUAGAUACCCUGGUAGUCCACGCCGUAAACGAUGAGUGCUAAGUGUUAGAGGGUUUCCGCCCUUUAGUGCUGCAGCAAACGCAUUAAGCACUCCGCCUGGGGAGUACGGCCGCAAGGCUGAAACUCAAAGGAAUUGACG
RNAcentral lists this ribosomal RNA (881 nucleotides) under Cytobacillus firmus. RNAcentral describes it as "bacterial SSU rRNA". It matches the Rfam family "Bacterial small subunit ribosomal RNA", at positions 54 to 915 of the family's 1533-position model. Lineage: Bacteria; Bacillati; Bacillota; Bacilli; Caryophanales; Bacillaceae. The record is from RNAcentral.